UGGGGAAUUUUGGACAAUGGGCGAAAGCCUGAUCCAGCAAUGCCGCGUGUGUGAAGAAGGCCUUCGGGUUGUAAAGCACUUUUGUCCGGAAAGAAAUCUGUCUGGCUAAUACCCGGACGGGAUGACGGUACCGGAAGAAUAAGCACCGGCUAACUACGUGCCAGCAGCCGCGGUAAUACGUAGGGUGCGAGCGUUAAUCGGAAUUACUGGGCGUAAAGCGUGCGCAGGCGGCGAUGCAAGACAGGUGUGAAAUCCCCGGGCUUAACCUGGGAACUGCACUUGUGACUGCAUUGCUAGAGUGUGUCAGAGGGAGGUGGAAUUCCGCGUGUAGCAGUGAAAUGCGUAGAGAUGCGGAGGAACACCGAUGGCGAAGGCAGCCUCCUGGGAUAACACUGACGCUCAGGCACGAAAGCGUGGGGAGCAAACAGGAU
This 431-nucleotide ribosomal RNA is filed under the name Limnobacter sp. Its description in RNAcentral is "bacterial SSU rRNA". It matches the Rfam family "Bacterial small subunit ribosomal RNA", at positions 355 to 778 of the family's 1533-position model. Lineage: Bacteria; Pseudomonadati; Pseudomonadota; Betaproteobacteria; Burkholderiales; Burkholderiaceae. The record is from RNAcentral.